RNAcentral lists this ribosomal RNA (254 nucleotides) under uncultured bacterium. RNAcentral describes it as "partial 16S ribosomal RNA". It matches the Rfam family "Bacterial small subunit ribosomal RNA", at positions 524 to 776 of the family's 1533-position model. The record is from RNAcentral.
GACGUAGGGCGCGAGCGUUGUCCGGAUUUAUUGGGCGUAAAGAGCUCGUAGGCGGCUUGUUGCGUCGACUGUGAAAACCCGCGGCUUAACUGCGGGCUUGCAGUUGAUACGGGCAGGCUAGAGUUCGGUAGGGGAGACUGGAAUUCCUGGUGUAGCGGUGAAAUGCGCAGAUAUCAGGAGGAACACCAGUGGCGAAGGCGACUACCUGGCCUGUUUCUUGACGCUGAGGCGCGAAAGCUAGGGGAGCAAACGGG